UGUGGAUAAAAGCUCUACUGAUAUUGUGAAAGAAAUAUUUGAAGCAGAGGCAAGUAAUAGAAUUUUCAGAAAACUUUCUUGCGCAUCAUGUCGAUCGGGCUUUCAUGGCCCUGCUCCACGAAAGAUGUCUUCCAACACAUCUGAAGGCCAGCAGAUUGGGCAAGACUGAUCCAUGUAUGCAGAUCACCUUGAGAAUUUGAUUAAAGAUUGCAACUAGUCGUUAUCAUAGACAAAUUAAAUGGAGGAGCUUUCCUUUCCCUCCUACCAAAAGGAGCAGGACUUACCCCACGGAGAAUUUGCAAGGACAGAAGCUGUGACUGCCAUGUAUCCGCUUACCUGGGAAUAAGUCUGACCUACUGAACUCAGUCCGAGUUACUUCUGAGUAAAUAUUUGCAACGAGCUCUGCAAAUACGGCCAGAGAUGGCACCCUCCCAGGAUGAAUAUAGCACGAAGCUUAAAAUGGAGAUGAACCGCAGGCAACCCGAUGCUCUCCAGAUGUUUUGGACUACAACUCCGAGAAUGCUUCGUGAUCGGAACGGGAGUUCUACUCCAAACCAUCAGGUGCGCAGGAGGUUCCCGAUCCCAUUCGGAUUACAGCCAUGUGCUUCGCCGCGCGCCGAUCCCGUACCCGCCUUGGUUCAGGUCCUGUCCACACGUUUCCUAUCCACGGUUCCGGCGCGUGGCGGUGCGCUUCGGGACCCGUCCCGUCCCGGUUUGGGCGCUGCUUCACCGGCACUCAGUUUUGCAGCCCAGAAGCCCCGCUAGGGAGCCUGCCUCGAGGCACCGGCUCCGCGGGCGAUCCCCCUGGGAGCCCGCCCGGCCCGCGCGU
Molecule: non-coding RNA, 829 nt
Organism: Python bivittatus (Burmese python)
Lineage: Eukaryota; Metazoa; Chordata; Lepidosauria; Squamata; Pythonidae
Source: RefSeq, a predicted model, not a curated record